GCCUCCGUGCUGAAGCGAACGCGAUAAGUGAGCCGCCUGGGGAGUACGCCCGCAAGGGUGAAACUCAAAGGAAUUGACGGGGGCCCGCACAAGCGGUGGAGCGUGUGGUUUAAUUGAAGCUAAGCCAAGAACCUUACCAGGGCUUGACAUGCUGGUGGUACCGAGCCGAAAGGUGAGGGACCCUGCCGAAAGGUAGGGAGCCAGCACAGGUGGUGCACGGUCGUCGUCAGCUCGUGCCGUGAGGUGUUGGGUUAAGUCCCGCAACGAGCGCAACCCCUGCCCUUAGUUGCCAGCGGUUAGGCCGGGCACUCUAAGGGGACUGCCGGCGACGAGCCGGAGGAAGGAGGGGAUGACGUCAGAUACUCGUGCCCCUUAUGUCCUGGGCGACACACGCGCUACAAUGGGGUGGACAGCGGGAAGCGAGGCAGCGAUGCUGAGCAAAUCCCUGAAACCACCCCCCAGUUCAGAUUGUGGGCUGAAACCCGCCCACAUGAAGCCGGAAUCGCUAGUAAUCGCGGAUCAGCCACGCCGCGGUGAAUACGUUCU
Molecule: ribosomal RNA, 546 nt
Filed under: uncultured Thermotogales bacterium
Lineage: Bacteria; Thermotogati; Thermotogota; Thermotogae; Thermotogales
Description: bacterial SSU rRNA
Rfam family: Bacterial small subunit ribosomal RNA
Source: RNAcentral